CACCUGGUUGAUCCUGCCAGUAGUCAUAUGCUUGUCUCAAAGAUUAAGCCAUGCAUGUCUAAGUAUAAGCUUUAAACGGCGAAACUGCGAAUGGCUCAUUAAAACAGUUAUAGUUUAUUUGGUGAUCGAUUACUAUUUGGAUAACCGUAGUAAUUCUAGAGCUAAUACAUGCGUCAAGGCCCGACUUCGGAAGGGCUGCGUUUAUUAGAUACAGAACCAACCUAGGCUCCGCCUAGUCCUUGUUGGUGAUUCAUAAUAACCCGGCGAAUCGCGCGGCUUGUCCGGCGAUGGACCAUUCAAGUUUCUGACCUAUCAGCUAUGGACGGUAGGGUAUUGGCCUACCGUGGCGUUGACGGGUAACGGGGAAUUAGGGUUCGAUUCCGGAGAGGGAGCCUGAGAAACGGCUACCACAUCUAAGGAAGGCAGCAGGCGCGCAAAUUACCCAAUCCUGAUACAGGGAGGUAGUGACAAGAAAUAACAAUACAGGGCAAUUCUGUCUUGUAAUUGGAAUGAGUAGAUUUUAAAUCUCUUUACGAGUAUCAAUUGGAGGGCAAGUCUGGUGCCAGCAGCCGCGGUAAUUCCAGCUCCAAUAGCGUAUAUUAAAGUUGUUGCGGUUAAAAAGCUCGUAGUUGGAUUUCUGCCUUGGGCGACCGAUCCACCUUUCCUACGGGAUUGGUUGGUAUCAGGUUUGACCUUGGCUUUUUCUUGGGAUUCGUGCUCACGUACUUAACUGUGCGUUGACCGUGUUCCAAGACUUUUACUUUGAGGAAAUUAGAGUGUUUCAAGCAGGCUUAUGCCAUGAAUACAUUAGCAUGGAAUAAUAGGAUAUGACUUCGGUCAUAUUUUGUUGGUUCUAGG
RNAcentral lists this non-coding RNA (858 nucleotides) under Perkinsus marinus ATCC 50983. RNAcentral's name for it is "Eukaryotic small subunit ribosomal RNA". It matches the Rfam family "Eukaryotic small subunit ribosomal RNA", at positions 1 to 854 of the family's 1831-position model. Lineage: Eukaryota; Perkinsozoa; Perkinsida; Perkinsidae. The record is from Rfam by way of RNAcentral.